GAUGAAGAACGUAGCGAAAUGCGAUAAAUAAUGUGAAUUGCAGAAUUCAGUGAAUCAUCGAGUCUUUGAACGCACAUUGCGCCCCCUGGUAUUCCGGGGGGCAUGCCUGUCCGAGCGUCAUUGCUGCCCUCAAGCACGGCUUGUGUGUUGGGCCCCCGUCCCCCCCUCCCGGGGGACGGGCCCGAAAGGCAGCGGCGGCACCGCGUCCGGUCCUCGAGCGUAUGGGGCUUUGUCACCCGCUCUGUAGGCCCGGCCGGCGCCUGCCUACCACCAUCAAUCUUUUUUCAGGUUGACCUCGGAUCAGGUAGGGAUACCCGCUGAACUUAAGCAUAUCAAUAAGCGGAGGA
Molecule: unclassified non-coding RNA, 347 nt
Filed under: soil metagenome
Description: partial contains 5.8S ribosomal RNA, internal transcribed spacer 2, and large subunit ribosomal RNA
Rfam family: 5.8S ribosomal RNA (bases 1-120)
Source: RNAcentral